GCUCGACUGUAUGUGGGUAAUAUUCAACGCCAAGGACAGAUAUGUUUGCCUGUGUGGAUGGUCUUCAGCACCAAGAACAGGUCUGUUUGCUU
Molecule: microRNA precursor, 92 nt
Filed under: Branchiostoma floridae (Florida lancelet)
Lineage: Eukaryota; Metazoa; Chordata; Leptocardii; Amphioxiformes; Branchiostomatidae
Description: mir-2060 microRNA precursor family
Rfam family: mir-2060 microRNA precursor family
Source: Rfam by way of RNAcentral